Molecule: non-coding RNA, 1853 nt
Organism: Microcebus murinus (gray mouse lemur)
Lineage: Eukaryota; Metazoa; Chordata; Mammalia; Primates; Cheirogaleidae
Source: RefSeq, a predicted model, not a curated record
UGCAGGUGUGUGUGCGUGCGUGUGUGUCCACACUGCAGGUGUGUGUGCGUGUGCGCUUGCGUGUGUGAGGUUGCCCCGAGACUCAGGGCAGCCCCACUCUAGCCGACCCAGCUCUGCAAUCACAGGCUCCGGCAACCCAAGCUGGCCGACUUUAUAAGGGUAAACAGCGGCGGAUCCGAGCUGAGUUUGCGGGCGCCUCAUCAGCGUGAGUGUCCGGAGCUCGCAGCGCUCCCGUACCCAGGCCGGCCCGUCCCCUCCCUGCCCAGUCCCGCUCGCACUCCGCCCCACGCCCCGACCCUCACCGCCAGCCGAGUGCAGCGCUGCGACCACACCCGCCACGCCCGUUCCACCGACCGCCGCGCCCGUCCCGCCAACCGCCGCGAGACCUGGAGACGGCCACCAGGCCGCGCAGUGCCCUCCCCCGCUUGUUCCCAGGUGCAGCAGGGAGCUGAGAAAGGGCCCGCCGAGAGCACGUGGCGCCUGGCGGCAGAGCCCGGGCCCAGCGUCACGCCGUGGCCCCCAGUCUGCGCACGCCGCACUUCCCACUGUCUUUCCGCUUCCGCCAGAACGCACCCUCCUCUGCUCCCCCUGGAGCCGCAGAACACCCCACGCCUUCCCGCAGCCACUCCGGGACGGCCCUCCGGCCACCCGUGGGGAAGAGCCGGCCCAGGCGCGUGGCCAGCCCUUCCCCGUGAGCCGUGGGCAGGGCCGUGGUCCCCCGGUGGCACUGGCAUCCCAGUGAUCCUCGAGACAGCCCUGGGUGUCUGCUGUUAUUAUUGUCCCGCUCAACUGAGGGGGAAACUGAGGUUCGGAGAGGUCGAGCAACUUGCCCAGGACCCCACAGCUCACGACCUGGGGUCAAGCCCCCGAGCCCUCCCGGGCGGGGCGGCAAAGCCACCUCUCUCCUCCGCGCUCGGUCACAUCGGGGCACUGCAGACGCGGAGACGGCAGGCCCUCGUUUCCCACAGGAGAGCACGAGCAGAACCGAGAGUGGCUUCUCCCGUGGCCCACGGACGGCGGCCUCCGCCCCUUCCCGUCCCCACCGCUGUCCGGGCUGCGUCCCGCCUGGCUGAGAGUAGCGCCCACAAACCCCGAUGCCCCCGGGGGCCGGCGGGCAGUGACAGGGCACGGCUCCGCCAGGGGGAUUCACGGUGAUGUGACGGGCCGUGGCGGGCACCGUGCACAAUGGAGAUCACACGCGCCCGCUCCGCGUGGGCAGCCGCGGCUCUGCUCCUGGCCAGGGCUGCCCCCCGGCCCGCUGUUCGCGAGAAGCCAGGGAUCCAGACUCUUAUGCGGAAUCCCUUCAUUUUUAAACGGCGGAAACUAAUUCCGGUGUUUCCUUAAACACCAUCCACGCCAAACACAACACAUCUGUGCGCAGGGCGGCAUUUCUGCGACAUCCCCUCUUACAGUUUACGGCGGCUAUAAGUGCGGUCCACUUAAAGCAAGUCCAGUUCAGUGUGACAUUAUCCAUUUAGCAUAAAAAUUAUCGAGCGUCUCCCUAAACACUGCGCAAGCCAAACAAAACACGUCUGGUUGCCGGGUCCGGGUGCCGUUUGGUGACGUCCGGAUUUACAGUCUGUAGAGGAUGGACGCUCCGCAGGAACCCUCGGGUCAGCAGAAGACAGGGGCCGGUUGCUGUCACGGCCCAGGGUCCUCGCAGGACUGCCACGCUGUGCGGCCACGGAACGACCCCAGACCCCCGUCCCUCCCGGGAGGCUCAGCAGGAGCUGGACUCCCAGCCCCCACGGCUGAGCACAGACCAGCCAGUGUCCCGUCUCUGCAGCCUGGGGCUUUGGGGUCCCGGUCUAAGUGUGCAGGUCUGAACCCCCACCCCCCAAUGCCAACCAUCC